This 515-nucleotide ribosomal RNA is filed under the name uncultured bacterium. RNAcentral describes it as "partial 16S ribosomal RNA". It matches the Rfam family "Bacterial small subunit ribosomal RNA", at positions 28 to 523 of the family's 1533-position model. The record is from RNAcentral.
GAUGAACGCUGGCGGCGUGCCUAAUACAUGCAAGUCGAGCGAAUGGAUUAAGAGCUUGCUCUUAUGAAGUUAGCGGCGGACGGGUGAGUAACACGUGGGUAACCUGCCCAUAAGACUGGGAUAACUCCGGGAAACCGGGGCUAAUACCGGAUAACAUUUUGAACCGCAUGGUUCGAAAUUGAAAGGCGGCUUCGGCUGUCACUUAUGGAUGGACCCGCGUCGCAUUAGCUAGUUGGUGAGGUAACGGCUCACCAAGGCAACGAUGCGUAGCCGACCUGAGAGGGUGAUCGGCCACACUUGGACUGAAACACGGCCCAGACUCCUCCGGGAGGCAGCAGUAGGGAAUCUUCCGCAAUGGACGAAAGUCUGACGGAGCAACGCCGCGUGAGUGAUGAAGGCUUUCGGGUCGUAAAACUCUGUUGUUAGGGAAGAACAAGUGCUAGUUGAAUAAGCUGGCACCUUGACGGUACCUAACCAGAAAGCCACGGCUAACUACGUGCCAGCAGCCGCGGUAA